RNAcentral lists this ribosomal RNA (406 nucleotides) under uncultured bacterium. RNAcentral describes it as "partial 16S ribosomal RNA". It matches the Rfam family "Bacterial small subunit ribosomal RNA", at positions 30 to 526 of the family's 1533-position model. The record is from RNAcentral.
AUUGAACGCUGGCGGCAGGCCUAACACAUGCAAGUCGAACGAGUGGCGGACGGGUGAGUACUGUCUGGGAAACUGCCUGACGGAGGGGGAUAACUACUGGAAACGGUAGCUACUACCGCCUACCACCCUAUGGGCCGAGACUGGAUUAGCUUGUUGGUGGGGAAACGGCUCACCAAGGCGACGAUCCCUAGCUGGGCUGAGAGGAUGACCAGCCACACUGGAACGGAGACACGGUCCAGACUCCUACGGGAGGCAGCAGUGGGGAAUAGUGCACAAUGGGCGAAAGCCUGAUGCAGCCAUGCCGCGUGUAUGAAGAAGGCCUUCGGAUUGUAAAGUACUUUUGGCAGGGAGGCGUUACCCGCAGAAGAAGCACCGGCUAACUACGUGCCAGCAGCCGCGGUAAUUC